Molecule: small nuclear RNA, 110 nt
Organism: Cryptotermes secundus
Lineage: Eukaryota; Metazoa; Arthropoda; Insecta; Blattodea; Kalotermitidae
Source: RefSeq, a predicted model, not a curated record
GCCUCCACGGCGAUACGUAUCCUAACAUUUGAACGAUACAGAUAAUAUUAGCAUGGCCCAUAUGCGCAAGGAUGAGACGCAACUCAAACAACUCGACUGACCUUGCUUAU